Molecule: long non-coding RNA, 915 nt
Organism: Corythoichthys intestinalis (scribbled pipefish)
Lineage: Eukaryota; Metazoa; Chordata; Actinopteri; Syngnathiformes; Syngnathidae
Exons: 3
Source: RefSeq, a predicted model, not a curated record
AAAAAAAAAAAAAAGAUAUCGUGCACCCCUAUUUUUUUUAUCAAUUUCUUUCUGUAAGCCAGAUUCUUUGGUGCCAGCUAUGCGGUACAUUUCCACUUGAGCUGUGCCAAGGUGACCAGAAUGAAGGCUCACAUUCCCAGUGAGCCAAACACCAAGUUCUUGGAAUUCGAACUGGGGGCAGUGUUGCAUCUUCUCAAGUGUGGCCUUGGCGGUCAAGCUUGAUUUAAAAAGCUCCACGAAUGCUGCCAAGGUCAUGACACUCACACCUCUUUACAGGCUGGAUACAUUCACAGGGGGCUCUACAUUGUCUAACUGCCACAGAUUCCUCUAUUCACAAAACAAUGUUCUGGACAAGACUGAAACAGACUGCAAUCUGGAAAUGAACAGGGGCCAUGCGUUUGCCAAUGGGACCAGAACUCUGCUGAUGGAGGGGAAAUUUCUACAUCAGACUGACACACAUAACACAGUAUGGGACCAAGGCUACACUUACUCGGCUGCAUCUUAAAGUCGCAGCACUUUUGAGAGUGCCUCUUGAGUGCUGAGUCAAGAGGGUCAAGGGACAAAAGUCAUGUGGCCGAUGAUGGAUGGCUGACACGUGCUUUUAAGUCACUGUAGCUCCUUACGAUGUAUAUUUACUUCUUUUCUACUAUUCUACAGCAGCACACUCCCCUUAACUCACUGUUACAGAUCGGAGCUGACGUUCUCAUUCAGCAGUUCUGUAGUUUCACAUUCCGCACAUGGCUUUUCUGGAUAAAAGAGUAUUUUUAGCACUGUUACUGCGCAAUAAAAACCUGAAGAUAUGUAGCGAUUUACUUUCAGAGAAGUACUAAGAGAAGCAUUUAGAGAACCACAAUGCUGAAAACAAUUCCAUUGAAAUCAAGCAGUACUAAAGUAAAAAUGCAUCUUCAGAAGAGA